Cryptomeria japonica (Japanese cedar) is the source of this 2211-nucleotide long non-coding RNA. RefSeq lists it as uncharacterized. The transcript is spliced from 3 exons. The record is from RefSeq and is a predicted model, not a curated record. Lineage: Eukaryota; Viridiplantae; Streptophyta; Pinopsida; Cupressales; Cupressaceae.
UCUGGGUGAUGGUGCAUCUUCUGUAUGUUAUUUUUUCUUCUACAAUUUCAGUCCAGGUUUAAUAUAUUGCGAGAUAGUUUUUCUGAGUGUUUAUUUUGCUUCAAAUUUGAAAUGUUGGGAAAUCAAGUGGUGUUGUUGCUUACAAUUUGAAGCAUGUGUUCUUUUUUAUCUUGAUAUUCCUUAAGAGUUACAAGUGAGUGUGUUUUAUGCUUGAUUUUUCACGAGGUUUAAAUUAAGGUGAUUCUUUGAUGUUUAUGUUGUUCAUGGUUUACUUUUUUUGGUGUUGGUUUUGUUGAAGGAUUUAAAUGUGUUGAUUUUUGAAAGGGUUGAAAUGCAUGCAUUUUUUAGGUUGACUUUGCCUAGGCUUCAAAAUAGAUGCUUUCUGGGGGUUGAACUUGCCCAGGGUCUGAAAUGGAUGCUUUUCAAGGGUCGAUUUUGCCUGUGAUCUGACAUAUGUAUUUUGGGAAUUAGUUUUGCCAAGGGUUUGAAAUUUAUCCAUUUUUGGAGCUGAUUUUGCCCAAGGGUUCGAAAUGUAUGAUUUUUGGGGGGUUGAUUUCUGCUCAGAGUUCAAAAUAUAUGCUUUUUGGUGUUGAUUUGAUGUACAGUUUGGAAUGUAUGAUUUGCUUUGUGUGUUUUGUGUUGAAUAGGUGCGAUCGAGGGGUUUUUGUGCCCUUUGUGCUCUUCCCUUAUCACUGUCAUAACAAGGGGAAGUUAUAGAGUCCACAGUUUUGUUUGAAAAUCUGGGCAACAUGUCGUCUUCUUUUCAGAAAUGGCAGCAAGAAGAUGCUCAUGAUUACUUGCAUUCACUUCUUGAGGAUUUGGAUAAUUGUGUUUUGGGGACAGGACAUUUUAUUCCAUGCUCGUUUUUUCAAGGAGGUAGUUUUGUAUCUUUUGUGGUUGUCUCAGAAGUCAAGUAUGUUGUUUGUCAAAACCCAGUCGUAUGAAUUUGAUUUUUGGACUUGUUUUAGUUCCAAGAGCUGGAGGCUAAAAGGAUGGUGACCUUUUAUGAUAGGUAAAGUGCACAUAUUGUUGUCACUGCUCGAAUGCAUUUGAACCAUUUAUUGAUUUGAGCUUGGAGAUAGAUGAAGCUGAUUUCUUGACAAGUGCAGUCCAGUCAUUUACCUGUAUAGAAUCAAUUGUUCCUGAUUCCAAGUAUCGUUGAGACAUUGGCCAUCAAAAUUCACCAAUUCUGAAGUAGUUUAUAAUUUUAGCCAACUGUAUGAUGUCCUUGUAAUUCAACUGAAGCAUUUUGCUAACAAUGGGCUUUCGGGGGGUUUUGGUGAUUAAGUACAGAAAAUUGUUGCAUAUCAUCAAGUCUUGGACAUGGAGCCCUUUUUCAGCAAUCAUCAACAAGAAAAAGUUGAGAUGAAAUAUGAGCUUUAUUCAGUACUUGUACAUGCUGGAUUUUUUCUAAAUUCCGGUCAUAUUACUACUUUGUAUGCUCUGGCUAUGAUGAUUGGUAUGAGAUGGAUGAUUUACAGGUGAUAAGGGCAGCCAAGGAAACUAUCAUGCAUCAACAGGCAUAAAUUCUCUUUUAUUUACAAAAAAGGACCCAUUGGUUUCCAGAUAAUUUGAAUUAUAAAGUGAAGAAUGAAUCAAAUUUCUUCGGUUCUCCCAACUCUAUUCUAGAAGAGGCAUUUACAACUGAAGAAUUAUCUCGUGAGUUGAGUGAGGCUGAUGGUAGCGGUACUGAUUGUCCAGAUGGAAUAUAUUCAAAUGUAAAUUCUAAAAUAUUAUCCAAUGGAACUACAAUGAAUGGUGAUUCUUGACUGAAUACUUCUCAUUCCAGUUUGAAUGUUGACGUGAGGAACUUUGUUUUACUCUCUCAUCAUAUAUGUCUAAUGUGAGCCCACCAGUCUUAAAGACACUUAUGAAGCUUGCCCGACACACAUUUCUGGGAAAACCAGAACCUUUGAGAACUUGUUCAGAAGAGAAAGAAACAAAUAUUGGAUAGGAUUCUAGGGAGACUAAGUUUUCAUGUUUGCCAGUGGAUACAAAGAGUACAAAGACUUUGGAUAUCCAAGUUAGUGGUAAAAAGAGGCUCUCACCAACAAUGAGUUACCUGAAUAGAAAAAUACAAGAGGUGGAUGGGGCUUGGAAAUGGCAAAUUUUGUUAUGGUGUUGUAUCUUCUGGAUGUAGAGGAUGAGCUAAGAGUGACAGUCCAUCAUGAAAAGCGAGAAAAUCGAUUGUAGCCAAUUUUCAAAAAAAUG